RNAcentral lists this ribosomal RNA (791 nucleotides) under uncultured bacterium. Its description in RNAcentral is "bacterial SSU rRNA". It matches the Rfam family "Bacterial small subunit ribosomal RNA", at positions 8 to 796 of the family's 1533-position model. The record is from RNAcentral.
AGAGUUUGAUCAUGGCUCAGAUUGAACGCUGGCGGCAUGCUUUACACAUGCAAGUCGAACGCGGUCGGGGGGCAACUCCUGACUGAGUGGCGAACGGGUGAGUAAUACAUCGGAACGUACCCCGUUGUGGGGGAUAACCCACCGAAAGGUGGGCUAAUACCGCAUACGCCCCGAGGGGGAAAGCGGGGGACCUGAGAGGGCCUCGCGCGAUGGGAGCGGCCGAUGUCGGAUUAGCUAGUAGGUUGGGUAAAGGCUGACCUAGGCGACGAUCCGUAGCUGGUCUGAGAGGAUGAUCAGCCACACUGGGACUGAGACACGGCCCAGACUCCUACGGGAGGCAGCAGUGGGGAAUUUUGGACAAUGGGGGCAACCCUGAUCCAGCCAUGCCGCGUGAGUGAAGAAGGCCUUCGGGUUGUAAAGCUCUUUCGGCCGGAACGAAAUCGCAUCUCCUAAUACGGGGUGUGGAUGACGGUACCGGAAGAAGAAGCACCGGCUAACUACGUGCCAGCAGCCGCGGUAAUACGUAGGGUGCGAGCGUUAAUCGGAAUUACUGGGCAAAGCGUGCGCAGGCGGCUCUUCAAGUCAGAUGUGAAAGCCCCGGGCUUAACCUGGGAACUGCGUUUGAAACUGGAGGGCUAGAGUGUGGCAGAGGGAGGUGGAAUUCCACGUGUAGCAGUGAAAUGCGUAGAGAUGUGGAGGAACACCGAUGGCGAAGGCAGCCUCCUGGGCCAACACUGACGCUCAGGCACGAAAGCGUGGGGAGCAAACAGGAUUAGAUACCCUAGUAGUCC